GGGGCAUCUGGGUGGCUCAGUCAGUUUUAAGCGUCUGACUUCAGCUCAGGUCAUGAUCUCAUGGCUUGGGGGUUCAAGCCCCGCAUCAUUCUCUGUGCUGACAGCUCAGAGCCAGAAGCCUGCUUUGGAUUCUGUAUCUCCUUCUCUUUGCUCCUACCCUGCUUGAGCUUGGUUUCUCUCUCUCUCUCUCUCUCUCUCUCUCUCUCUUUCAAAAAUAAAUAAACAUUAAAAAAAAUUUAAGGGGUGCCUGGGUGGCUCAGUCAGUUAAGAGUCAGACUUUGUCUGGGGUCAUGAUCUCCUCCCACCCCACCCUGGACUAUGAGCACCUUGAGGACUGAUAACUAGAUGACAGGCAGUCACCUAACACCUAGCCUGGCACCGAACAGACCUCCAUAAAUGCCUGUGGCAUGAAGGAAUGACAGCGUCCUUUCAGAGGGCAAAAUACCUUUGCCUUCCUUGGCUUGGCAUCUCCCCACAGCAUUUAGGCCAGGACUCCGCAUUCAAUGGGUCCCCAGCUGGAUGUUAUUUUCUGGGCUGGUUGCUCUCUCUUGCCACUCUUUUGUCCUCAGCCUCCGCAGCUCAAGUGCUACCUUUCCGGUGCCCAAAAAAUUGAGGUUAUCUUGGGUUAUCAGGUUCUCAGGGCAGUCCCUAAAAGUCUAUCUAAUCCUGAAUGUGGCCGACCUGGCACACCAAAUGCACUUCUCCCGUAGUCCCAAGAACUCUGUACAGCCUUGAUUGUGCAAGAGAGAAGAGAGGGCACCCUGUGUUCCAAUUCCGGGACGCAGCCCUCCUCUACUCCCUACUUGGCUGAACCCACAGCUAGGGGUGGGGCUGGGCCAGGGAGGGUGCUGGGGAGGAGAGCAGACAAUCCUGGGCACCAGCACCAGAAAUCUUAUUCUCUGCCAGAGGACAUCUCUCUAGUUCUUUCACUCACAGGAAUUCUGAAUAAGGACUAAAUAGGAAUAGUAAUGAUGUUUGUAUAGUGCUUUAUAGUUUAUAAAUGACAUAUUUUCACCCCUAAUAUCUCACUGUCUGAUUCUUAAAACAACCCUCUCGAGUUACUUUAUUGUAGUAAUUUUUAUUCAACAGGCAAGAAAAAUGAGGUUCAGAAAUGAAGUGAUUUGGGGUGGCUCAGUCGGUUGAGCAUCCAACUCUUGAUUUCUGCUCCGGUCAUGAUCUCAUGGUUUGUGACUUCAAGCCCCAUGUUGGGCCGGGCCUGUGCUACCAGCGUGGAACCUGCUUGGGAUUAUCUCUCCCUUCUCUCUCCUCUCUCUCUCUCUCUCUCUCUCUCUCUCUCUCUCUCUCUCUCUCUCUCUCUCCCUCCUCCUCCUCCCCACCUCUCUCUCAAAAAUAAGUAAAUAAACUUAAAGACGGGGGGGGGGGGCA
Molecule: long non-coding RNA, 1386 nt
Filed under: Felis catus (domestic cat)
Lineage: Eukaryota; Metazoa; Chordata; Mammalia; Carnivora; Felidae
Description: lncRNA (ENSFCAG00000051505.1)
Source: RNAcentral